RNAcentral lists this long non-coding RNA (632 nucleotides) under Mytilus galloprovincialis (Mediterranean mussel). The record is from RNAcentral. Lineage: Eukaryota; Metazoa; Mollusca; Bivalvia; Mytilida; Mytilidae.
AAAAAUAAUAAACAUAAUUUUAUGCGUAAAAGAAUGUUCCCAAGGUUGUUUUUUUUUAUGAUAAGAUUUCCGUUCUAAAAAUAAUUAUGACAACAAUAAACAAAAUUGCGGAAAACGGCAGGUUUAUGAUUUUGCACCUAACCCUUACUACCUGUAUAUAUCAUGUAUACAUGGUAUAUGUGUAUCAUGAUUUUUCAACGUCUUUAAAAGCUUCGAAACUUCAUGCUACUCCUUGCAAACAAUUGUAGCCUAGUUUAUUUAUUUGUAGAAUUUGAUAUUCUUUAGUCUACAUCUAAAUCCUUGUAGUUAAGGGUGACACAUGUGGAGCAGGACCUGCUUACCAUUCGUGGGAGCACUGGGAACACACCCAGUUUUAGGUGCGGUUCGUGUUGCUCAGUCUUUAGUUUUCUCUGUUGUUUUUUGUGUGUUAAUUAUUGUUUGUCUGUGUGUCUUAUUCUUUUGUAGCCAUGACGUUGUCUGUUAUAUUCGACAUACGAGUUUUAAUGUCCCUUUGGUAUCUGUCACACCUUCUUAAGACUUAAGGUGGUACCUAACACUUUAACUAAAAUUAAUUUGGCUCGUUUAAUUUUCUUAAAAUUUUGACGAAGUAUUUUUCCUUGACCUUUGCAAAA